Molecule: ribosomal RNA, 218 nt
Filed under: uncultured bacterium
Lineage: Bacteria
Description: partial 16S ribosomal RNA
Rfam family: Bacterial small subunit ribosomal RNA
Source: RNAcentral
ACGCUCGACACCUACGAGAGGCAGCAGUGAGGAAUAUUGGUCAAUGGGCGCUAGCCUGAACCAGCCAAGUAGCGUGAAGGAUGAAGGCUCUAUGGGUCGUAAACUUCUUUAUAUAAGAAUAAAGUGCAGUAUGUAUACUGUUUUGUAUGUAUUAUAUGAAUAAGGAUCGGCUAACUCCGUGCCCGACAGCCGCGGUAAUCUGAGCGGGCUGGCAAGGC